Molecule: ribosomal RNA, 253 nt
Filed under: uncultured bacterium
Lineage: Bacteria
Description: partial 16S ribosomal RNA
Rfam family: Bacterial small subunit ribosomal RNA
Source: RNAcentral
UACGGAGGGUGCAAGCGUUAUCCGGAUUCACUGGGUUUAAAGGGUGCGUAGGUGGGCAGUUAAGUCAGUGGUGAAAUCUCCGGGCUUAACCCGGAAACUGCCAUUGAUACUAUCUGUCUUGAAUAUCGUGGAGGUAAGCGGAAUAUGUCAUGUAGCGGUGAAAUGCUUAGAUAUGACAUAGAGAACCAAUUGCGAAGGCAGCUUACUACCCGAAUAUUGACACUGAGGCACGAAAGCGUGGGGAUCAAACAGG